UGGGGAAUUUUGGACAAUGGGGGCAACCCUGAUCCAGCCAUGCCGCGUGCGGGAAGAAGGCCUUCGGGUUGUAAACCGCUUUUGUCGGGGAAGAAACGGUCUGCGCUAAUACCGCGGGCUAAUGACGGUACCCGAAGAAUAAGCACCGGCUACCUACGUGCCAGCAGCCGCGGUAAUACGUAGGGUGCAAGCGUUAAUCGGAAUUACUGGGCGUAAAGCGUGCGCAGGCGGUCGUGCAAGACAGAUGUGAAAUCCUCGGGCUCAACCUGGGAACUGCAUUUGUGACUGCACGGCUGGAGUGCGGCAGAGGGGGAUGGAAUUCCGCGUGUAGCAGUGAAAUGCGUAGAUAUGCGGAGGAACACCGAUGGCGAAGGCAAUCCCCUGGGCCUGCACUGACGCUCAUGCACGAAAGCGUGGGGAGCAAA
Molecule: ribosomal RNA, 425 nt
Filed under: uncultured bacterium
Lineage: Bacteria
Description: bacterial SSU rRNA
Rfam family: Bacterial small subunit ribosomal RNA
Source: RNAcentral